UCGCAGAGUCCUGCUUUUCAGAGUCGGCUCCGCCCCACCUGCGGUCAGAGCUCCGGUGACCGUUGGCCCGGCGGGUCCUCGCCCGUGGCUCUAAAGUGAGUGCAAUAGGAUAAAUUCCUCCACUCGGGAGAAAGCAGAGGCAAGAAGUUGACUAAACGAUGUUUAAGAAUAAUGUUACUGACCAUAAGCCUAAUGUGGAAACCAUAAUUAAAAACAUUAACACAAUUUCUUUGGAGUUAAAGAAGAUGAAAGAGCUCUCCCAGUUGCUGCUUUGUGACCUUACUCUACAUUUUAAUCAUCCUGUGAAGACGGAUGACUUAAAGGAACCAGAAGGAAAAACCCGCCUCUUUGAAGAGUCUGCAAUAUCAGAUGUGUCCCUUGCCUCUAAUAAUUUUUCUAUCUGAUUUCUUUUUGUUUGUUGUGAAUUUAUAACUGUAUUUAUUGUGGAAUUAACAUGUAUCUGAGAGAAUUGAGUUUACUAAUAUAUUUAAUAUGAUAAACAAAAUAAAAAUAGGAUGAGUUGUAAAUAACCAUUUAAUAUUAUUGAAACUUGUUUUAUUGUUUCAAAGAAUGGCUAAUUCAUUUCACUAGUGGCAAGAAUAUGACAUAGGAAAUUGACCAUGGGGGCAUUGCUUAUCCUUUAUGCUUGAAUUUAGCUCAGAUGGAAAGAGUUAACCAAAUUAUAAAUGGAUCGCAUGAGUUUGAAUCAGAUCUCUCCUUGUAACAAGUACCAAAAAACUCAAGCUAGCUGAAGCAUUUAUUGGGUCCUGUGACUUGGAAGUCCAUGGUUGAAAGAGAUGUCAGGGACUCUACUAAUUUAUCCUAUGUCUCUAACCUGGUUCUAUUUCUGUGCAUUGAUUUUAUCUUCUUCUGUUAUAGACUGGUUUCCUGCCUAUGGCAAGUUGAGGAGGGUAGAGACAUGGUAUCUGACAUGAUUCACUACCAAAUAGCUGCUUUGAAAUCUGUUACCUCCUUCAUUUUAGAAAUUUUAAAAUUUUAAAUUAAGAUAAUGUAACCUAAACCAAGACACAAGGUCAGCUCAGUGUCUGCUGUCCUCACCACUCAAGUCAGUGUUUAACACAGAUUAGGCACUAAAUAAAUGGUUGUUGACAUCCUGUUGCAUAAGCAUGUAAAUGAAUGCAGAUUUUUCAACUUUAGAACUCUCUAGCUCUGGACCCUAGAGACCUACCAGUUUGUAAAGAUGAAGCUUGAUGAAACAUUAUUAUCAUCAUUGGUUAAAAGUCUCCACAUACCUGUUAUCUUAGCAAGUUAUCAGUUUUAACCAGGUAACUUCUAAGCUCCCUUCUGAUGUUCUAUUAAUAAACUUAUGAAAAUGAAGGUGCAAGAUAUUUUUGGCCACUCAGAAAACUUGCAGAUUAACUAGAGAAGCCAAAAAUUUUUGUGGUUAAUAAAAUUUGUGGAAUAAUAACAGAGCCCCAAAGGGGAAAACUUGAAGAACAACAACCAAAUGCCUGGUUUUGUUGUGCUGAACACCUACUACUGUCUGCUAAGUAGGAUGAGUAAGCUGAAGGAAAGAGCUGUAUUGCUUCAAAGGAUUUAUAAAGCCUUUUUAGGAAUGACAAUGAGAAGGGCUUUAUGGUAGAGUUGUCAGGGGAUAAAAGAGAUAGAAGAAAGGCAUCUAAUAGGAAAGUCUGGUCACAUUUUUCUAUGUAUAUGCAUUGCUCUUUCAUCUUUGCUGGAAGACUUGGAUAAAAUCGACAUCACUUGGAAAUGCUUUUGGAGUUGUGGGAGUUGCAGGGGAGGUGGAAUGUGGGUGUUGGGAUGUGAUGAACUUACAUCCAGCUAUAUUUGACACCAAAGCCUUAUCUCUAAAUUUAAAAUGAUUACUUGUGGUAUUAACAGCUUAAAUUUGCUUUAAAACAAAAAUAUAAUAGGAUGGACUAAACAAAGUCAAUAGUUUUAAGAACACAAAAGUAAAGCAAAAGGUAAAUUAAUUUUAAUCCUAGGAAGUUAUCGCAUCAUGCAUUUAUCUUUUCAUAAAAAAGUACACAAAUAUGCCCCCAGCAAAAAAAAAGAAACAAAUAAGAAAGGAUGAACUAGUUUUAAGCCUCUUAAAUUAUUGCUGCCAAGAAAGUGAAAUUUGGAAAUUUUCAAAUCAUAUAUAUAAAACUGAUGAUUGCCUCUGACUAACAACAAAGGUUUAGCUAUUAAAAAAUCAGUUUUAUGUGAUAUCAAAAACUA
This is a long non-coding RNA of Canis lupus familiaris (dog), 2202 nucleotides long. RefSeq annotates it as chromosome 4 C5orf58 homolog. The transcript is spliced from 4 exons. NCBI's taxonomy places the organism in Eukaryota, Metazoa, Chordata, Mammalia, Carnivora, Canidae. The record is from RefSeq and is a predicted model, not a curated record.